Molecule: microRNA precursor, 56 nt
Filed under: Fasciola hepatica (liver fluke)
Lineage: Eukaryota; Metazoa; Platyhelminthes; Trematoda; Plagiorchiida; Fasciolidae
Description: microRNA fhe-mir-2e precursor
Gene: fhe-mir-2e
Source: miRBase by way of RNAcentral
CCAACUUAGACUGCGUUAUACUGCCAUUGUCUCGUGUAUCACAGUCCAAGCUUUGG